AGAAAAUUCCGGUUCCCGUACGAUCACCGAAGUUAAGCAACGUCGGGCCUACUCAGUAUCUGGAGGGGUGACCGCUUGGGAAUACCAGAUGCUGUAA
Molecule: non-coding RNA, 97 nt
Organism: Acanthosepion pharaonis
Lineage: Eukaryota; Metazoa; Mollusca; Cephalopoda; Sepiida; Sepiidae
Source: the annotation of a GenBank genome assembly